This 283-nucleotide long non-coding RNA is filed under the name Pongo abelii (Sumatran orangutan). Its description in RNAcentral is "lincRNA". Lineage: Eukaryota; Metazoa; Chordata; Mammalia; Primates; Hominidae. The record is from RNAcentral.
GUACCUAAAAUAAACAAUCCUCCUGUUCUCCAUAUUGGUCUCUUCGGUCCUCAGUUUCCUGCGACAUUUUUGGCAGCCACGAAGGGACCAGAGAUGGCAGGCUGUCUCCUUUCCUCUGGGGGCUGGAGCCCUGGGCCAGGGGAAACCUGUGACCCCAGGUGCCACCAGGAGAACUUCAGCCCCUAGGGGAAAUCAGCUCUCCCAUGACCCGGCACCCCUACCCAGCAGCGCAACAGAACCUGAAAGGAGCUACAGGACGAUUUCAGAAACAGCAUGAACUGUG